CUCGUAGGCGGUUUGUCACGUCGGGAGUGAAAACUCAGGGCUCAACCCUGAGCGUGCUUCCGAUACGGGCAGACUAGAGGUAUUCAGGGGAGAACGGAAUUCCUGGUGUAGCGGUGGAAUGCGCAGAUAUCAGGAGGAACACCGGUGGCGAAGGCGGUUCUCUGGGAAUUACCUGACGCUGAGGAGCGAAAGCAUGGGGAGCGAACA
Molecule: ribosomal RNA, 207 nt
Filed under: uncultured bacterium
Lineage: Bacteria
Description: partial 16S ribosomal RNA
Rfam family: Bacterial small subunit ribosomal RNA
Source: RNAcentral